Molecule: ribosomal RNA, 113 nt
Filed under: Crassicauda giliakiana
Lineage: Eukaryota; Metazoa; Nematoda; Chromadorea; Rhabditida; Tetrameridae
Description: 5.8S ribosomal RNA
Rfam family: 5.8S ribosomal RNA
About the family: 5.8S ribosomal RNA (5.8S rRNA) is a component of the large subunit of the eukaryotic ribosome. It is transcribed by RNA polymerase I as part of the 45S precursor that also contains 18S and 28S rRNA.
Source: RNAcentral
CGCAGCUAGCUGCGAUAACUAGUGCGAAUUGCAGACACAUUGAGCACAAAAAUUUCGAACGCAAAUUGCGCCAUCGGGUUUAUUCCCCUUGGCACGUCUGGCUGAGGGUCGGU